RNAcentral lists this ribosomal RNA (442 nucleotides) under uncultured bacterium. Its description in RNAcentral is "partial 16S ribosomal RNA". It matches the Rfam family "Bacterial small subunit ribosomal RNA", at positions 338 to 795 of the family's 1533-position model. The record is from RNAcentral.
CCUACGGGAGACAGCAGUAGGGAAUCUUUCACAAUGGGCGAAAGCCUGAUGGAGCAACGCCGCGUGCAGGAUGAAGGCCUUCGGGUUGUAAACUGCUUUUAUAAGCGAGAAAUAUGAUGGUAACUUAUGAAUAAGGAUCGGCUAACUACGUGCCAGCAGCCGCGGUCAUACGUAGGAUCCGAGCAUUAUCCGGAGUGACUGGGUGUAAAGAGUUGCGUAGGUGGCAUAAUAAGUAGCUAGUGAAAACUGGUGGCUAAACCAUUCAGACUAUUAGCUAAACUGUUAAGCUCGAGACCGUUAGGGGUAACUGGAAUUUCUAGUGUAGGAGUGAAAUCCGUAGAUAUUAGAAAGAACACCAAUAGCGUAGGCAGGUUGCUGGGACGGUUCUGACACUAAGGCACGAAAGCGUAGGGAGCAAACGGGAUUAGAUACCCCAGUAGUC